AUGGCAGAAUCAUUGCUUCUUCCUGUGGUACGAGGCGUGGCCAGCAAGGCCGCGAGCAUCCUCGUCCAGACCGUGACCCGCAUGUGUGGUGUUGACGAUGACCGCUGCAAAUUGGAGCGCCAGCUGCUGGCCGUCCAGUGCAAGCUGACCGACGCCGAGGUGAAGAGCGAAAACAACCAGUACGUCAAGAGGUGGAUGAAGGACUUCAGGACCGUCGCCUAUGAGGCUGACGACGUCCUCGACACCUUCCAGUAUGAGGCGCUGCGCUGCCAAGCCCAUACCGGCGUGUCCAGGACACACAAGGUACUCAGCCACUUCACGUCACACAGCCCGCUACUCUUCCGUCUUACUAUGAGUAGGAAGCUGAGAAACAUCCUCGAGAAGAUCAAUGAACUUGUCACAGAGAUGAACACUUUUGGCCUCCUGAACAGUGUGGAGCCGCCGCAGGUUCCUUGUCGGCAGACACACUCAGCACUGGAUGAAUAUGCGGAGAUCUUUGGAAGGGAUGAUGACAAGGAGGUGGUGGUGAAACUUUUGCUCGACCAGCAAGAUAAUCAGAAGUUGCAGGUGCUGCCAAUCUUUGGGAUGGGAGGUUUGGGCAAGACGACUCUUGCCAAGAUGGUGUACAACGACCACAGGGUCCAGCAACAUUUUCAUUUGAGCAUGUGGCACUGUGUCUCUGAAAACUUUGAAGCCAAGGUAACAUGCAACUUGCCAGACACCAUCGAGAUGUUGCGGGGGCGACUUCAGGAAGUCAUUGGGCAGAAAAGGUAUCUCCUUGUUCUUGAUGACGUAUGGAAUGAAGAGGAGAGGAAGUGGGAAGACGAUCUGAAGCCACUGCUCUGUUCUGUUGGUGGGACAGGAAGUGUUGUAGUUGUCACAUGUCGAAACCAGCAAGUGGCGUCCAUAAUGGGCACGCUAGGACCUCAUAAGCUAGCAUGUCUAAGCGAAGAUGAUUCAUGGGAACUGUUCUCGAAGAAAUCUUUUAGUAAUGGUGUAGAGGAGCGAGCAGAGUUGGUCGCCAUUGGCAAGCAUAUUGUUAAGAAAUGCAGGGGGCUUCCUCUUGCUCUGAAGACAAUGGGUGGUUUGAUGAGUUCCAAACAACUAGUGCAGGAAUGGGAGGCCAUAGAAAAAAGCAGUAUUGGGGAUAAUAUAAGAGGCAAAGAUGAGAUCCUACCCAUACUAAAAUUGAGCUACCGACACUUGACAGCCGAAAUGAAGCAAUGUUUUGCCUUCUGUGCUCUCUUUCCCAAGGACUUUGAGAUGGAAAAGGACACAUUGAUCCAGCUAUGGAUAGCAAAUGGUUUUAUUCAAGAAGAGGGCACAAUGGAUUUGACACAGAAGGGAGAAUCCAUUUUUCGUGAUCUGGUUUGGAGAUCCUUCCUCCAAGAUGUGAAGACAAAGAAACUUUAUUCCGUUGGCACAAGAUAUGAGGAAAUUGGAUGUAAAAUGCAUGAUUUAAUGCAUGACCUAGUGAAAGAUGUCACAGAUGAAUAUGCAACUAUAGAAGAGCUGAUUCAGCAAAAGGCAAUGAUAAAAGAUGUUCGUCACAUGACAACUGUAUAUGCAUGGUCUGAAGAGGAGCAUGUUAGUAGUGUGUUCAAAGACACCGUCUCUCUCCGCACUGUCUUUAAGCCUUUAAUACUACCCAAGAAUUUGAAGGAGUCAGGACUGGAAUCGUUAAGAGUCUUGUGUUGCGGGGAUCCUUCUAUUAUCCAUAAUCGGGUCAUAAAUGGAAAACAUUUGCGGUAUUUGGACCUUUCUAUGUCUGGCAUUAUUAGAAUGCCAAAUUCAAUAUGUUCGUUGUAUAACCUGCAAUCUUUGAGACUUAAUGGUUGCAGCCUUCUACAACAGUUACCAGAAGGCAUGAGUACUAUGCGGAAGCUUAUCCACCUUUAUCUUUUUGGAUGUGAUAGUUUGGAACGGAUGCCUCCAAAUAUUGGACUACUGCACAACCUUCAUACCCUAACAAAUUUUGUUGUGGAUAUUGAAGUUGGUUGUGGAAUCGAGGAGCUCAAAGAUCUGAGGCACCUUUCAAAUAGGUUAGAACUUUACAAUUUGAGAAAAGUAAAGAAUGAAAAUAAUGCUCAAGAAGCCAAUCUCCACCAGAAGCAGAAUAUAACUGAACUGUUGAUGCAUUGGGGGUGCGGGAAAUAUGACAUGCCUGAAGAUGAGGCUUGUAAUGAUGAACAAGUGUUGGAGGCUCUUAUACCUCACAGUAAGCUCCACGUUUUGGGGGUACAUGGAUAUGGUGGCCUAGAAAUAUCCCAAUGGAUGAGAGAGCCUGAGAUGUUCCGGUGCCUGAGAAAGCUUGAUAUGUCCAACUGCCCAAACUGCAAGAAUAUACCCAUAGUAUGGCUAUCAGACUCUCUUGAGUAUUUGUUGUUAUACAACAUGUGUAACCUGACCACAUUAUGUAAUAGUCUUGACAUGGAAGGUGGAGGAUACAGCACCCCUGUACGGAUUUUCCCGAAGUUGACGGAAAUGACUUUAGAUAAGUUACCCAACUUGGCGAUAUGGGUUGAGAAUAGUGUAACAGAGCCGAAUAGGUUGGUAAUGUUCCCAAUGCUCAUGGUGUUAAAAAUGAAGGAUUGCCCGAAACUUGCGAGUGUUCCUGAGAGCCCCGUCUUGAAAGAUCUGAACAUAGAAAACUGCUGCAGUCUUCCAGUGAGUUCGCUUGCACAUCUAAAAUCAUUGUGUGACCUCCAAUGUGAUGGAAAAGGUAUCAUGUGUACAAAUAUGCCUUUGGGCUCUUGGCCAUCUCUUGUCAGUUUAACUGUUCUCUCACUCGUGAACAUGAUGAUGGUCCCUCUAGAGGACCAGCAAACCCGGAGACAUGCGGAAACCCUUCGGUUUUUGAAGCUUCAUGGUCCCAACUGCUUCUUAACAACACCAGGAUUCUCAAAAUCGCAACUUGGCCUUUGGGAAUGCUUUUCUUUUGUGGAAGAAUUGUGGCUUAAUCAGUGCGAUGAUCUUGCCCGCUGGCCAACAGAGGAGCUCCAGAGCUUGCAACGCCUCCGCUCUCUGCAUAUUUGGUCUUGUGCCAACCUGGAGGGGAGGGGUUCAUCGUCUGACGAGACUUUGCCACUGUCUCAUCUGGAGAAGUUGGAUAUUCGCAAUUGUCGCACUUUAUUAGAGAUUCCCAAGUUGCCUGCAUCCCUGGAGGAAUUGCAGAUUACCCAGUGCAAGAACCUGGUGGCGCUGCCUUCAAACCUUGGAGAUCUAGCCAAGCUGAGGGUUCUCUAUGUGGAUCGCUGUUGUGGCCUUACAGAAUUACCUGGUGUGAUGAAUGGCUUCACUUCCCUCGAGCGAUUGCAAAUUCAUGGGGUGGAGGAAUUCCAGCAGGUUCCCGUUCAGUGGCUCCCAGCCAUCAAAUCCUUCAUAAUAAUGGGCUGCCCAGAGUUGCAAAGACGCUGCAGAGAAGGCGGGGAGUAUUUCCACUUGGUCUCCUCUAUCCCGGGUAAAUGCAUUCCAUCACCAGAACCCCAGCACGAAGAAACCGAAUCGAGCAUGAAGAAGUUUCUGAAGAGGCUCCUCCCUUCGUGUGCUGAUGGCUCACUCUAA
Molecule: ribosomal RNA, 3564 nt
Filed under: Triticum aestivum (bread wheat)
Lineage: Eukaryota; Viridiplantae; Streptophyta; Magnoliopsida; Poales; Poaceae
Description: partial small subunit ribosomal RNA
Source: RNAcentral